Molecule: ribosomal RNA, 500 nt
Filed under: uncultured bacterium
Lineage: Bacteria
Description: partial 16S ribosomal RNA
Rfam family: Bacterial small subunit ribosomal RNA
Source: RNAcentral
AUUGAACGCUGGCGGCAUGCCUUACACAUGCAAGUCGAACGGCAGCACGGGAGCAAUCCUGGUGGCGAGUGGCGAACGGGUGAGUAAUAUAUCGGAACGUGCCCAGUCGUGGGGGAUAACGCAGCGAAAGCUGUGCUAAUACCGCAUACGCUCUAAGGAUGAAAGCGGGGGAUCGCAAGACCUCGCGCGAUUGGAGCGGCCGAUAUCAGAUUAGCUAGUUGGUGGGGUAAAGGCCCACCAAGGCGACGAUCUGUAGCUGGUCUGAGAGGACGACCAGCCACAGUGGAACUGAGACACGGUCCAGACGCCUACGGGAGGCAGCAGUGGGGAAUUUUGGACAAUGGGAGCAAGCCUGAUCCAGCAAUGCCGCGUGCAGGAUGAAGUCCUUCGGGUUGUAAACUGCUUUUGUACGGAACGAAACGGCCCUUUCUAAUACAGGGGGCUAAUGACGGUACCGUAAGAAUAAGCACCGGCUAACUACGUGCCAGCCGCCGCGGUAA